AUUGAACGCUGGCGACAUGCCUUACACAUGCAAGUCGAACGGCAGCACGGGUGCUUGCACCUGGUGGCGAGUGGCGAACGGGUGAGUAAUACAUCGGAACAUGUCCUGUAGUGGGGGAUAGCCCGGCGAAAGCCGGAUUAAUACCGCAUACGAUCUACGGAUGAAAGCGGGGGACCUUCGGGCCUCGCGCUAUAGGGUUGGCCGAUGGCUGAUUAGCUAGUUGGUGGGGUAAAGGCCUACCAAGGCGACGAUCAGUAGCUGGUCUGAGAGGACGACCAGUCACACUGGGACUGAGACACGGCCCAGACUCCUACGGGAGGCAGCAGUGGGGAAUUUUGGACAAUGGGCGAAAGCCUGAUCCAGCAAUGCCGCGUGUGUGAAGAAGGCCUUCGGGUUGUAAAGCACUUUUGUCCGGAAAGAAGUCCUUGGCCCUAAUACGGUCGGGGGAUGACGGUACCGGAAGAAUAAGCACCGGCUAACUACGUG
This 486-nucleotide ribosomal RNA is filed under the name uncultured bacterium. RNAcentral describes it as "partial 16S ribosomal RNA". It matches the Rfam family "Bacterial small subunit ribosomal RNA", at positions 30 to 507 of the family's 1533-position model. The record is from RNAcentral.